RNAcentral lists this ribosomal RNA (253 nucleotides) under uncultured bacterium. RNAcentral's name for it is "partial 16S ribosomal RNA". It matches the Rfam family "Bacterial small subunit ribosomal RNA", at positions 524 to 776 of the family's 1533-position model. The record is from RNAcentral.
UACGAAGGGGGCUAGCGUUGUUCGGAAUUACUGGGCGUAAAGGGCGCGUAGGCGGCCUGCUAAGUCGAACGUGAAAUCCCCAGGCUCAACCUGGGAACUGCGUCCGAUACUGACAGGCUUGAAUCCGGGAGAGGGAUGUGGAAUUCCAGGUGUAGCGGUGAAAUGCGUAGAUAUCUGGAGGAACACCGGUGGCGAAGGCGGCAUCCUGGACCGGUAUUGACGCUGAGGCGCGAAAGCUAGGGUAGCAAACGGG